This 476-nucleotide unclassified non-coding RNA is filed under the name Hevea brasiliensis (rubber tree). Lineage: Eukaryota; Viridiplantae; Streptophyta; Magnoliopsida; Malpighiales; Euphorbiaceae. The record is from RNAcentral.
AAUUUUACUUGGAUCUCCAACAAGAUAAGAUUUGAACCUUUAAAAAUAAAUUUCAAAAUAGUCAAGAGACCUUCCAAACCUCUCCACCCAUCCAUGAAGAAGAAGAUAUGCAAGAAUAUGUUGUUAAGGGAAGUUCAUUCAAAAUUCCAAAUUAGCACUAAUUAAUGCCAAAUACAGUCAUAUCAAUGAAGCUAUUAUUCAAUACACACACACAUGGAGAAAGGAGAAACCUAUGUUAUGCUUCAAAAUCUGUGUAAGAUGCAAUAACAGGUUAUGCUGUUAUGGUAAUGAUAGUGAUUUGGUAGCUAUAAUAUUAUAAUAUACAGAUAAACAGAUAGAAGGAUGGAUAAAUGGAGAAAGACAUUGGAAAAGGAAAACUAAGAAUGGAAAGUUCCCAACACAAAGCAGCUCUCAGAAUUUACACUCAAUUCAAUGCUGUAAACAUAAACUUACCAUGGUAAAUUCAACAAAAGCUA